AUGUUGACAAGUCCAAAAAGAUUUUGUAAGACACACUCAAGUGGAGAUCAGUCUAUAAGCUCGAGAAAAUCCGCUGGGUAUGUUGUGCUUUGGUCUCAUUUUUUUUACGAUUUUCGUGCACGAGUAUUGUCUGAAAUGAGUUUGCAGAUCAAGACCUGGGUGGAAGCAAGUAUACAAAUAGCUUUCAGUAGCAACUACAUGUGA
This is a non-coding RNA of Vicia faba (fava bean), 204 nucleotides long. Lineage: Eukaryota; Viridiplantae; Streptophyta; Magnoliopsida; Fabales; Fabaceae. The record is from the annotation of a GenBank genome assembly.